UACGUAGGGUGCAAGCGUUAAUCGGAAUUACUGGGCGUAAAGCGUGCGCAGGCGGUUUUGUAAGUCUGUCGUGAAAGCCCCGGGCUCAACCUGGGAAUUGCGAUGGAGACUGCAAGGCUUGAAUCUGGCAGAGGGGGGUAGAAUUCCACGUGUAGCAGUGAAAUGCGUAGAGAUGUGGAGGAACACCGAUGGCGAAGGCAGCCCCCUGGGUCAAGAUUGACGCUCAUGCACGAAAGCGUGGGGAGCAAACAGGAUUAGAUACCCUGGUAGUCCACGCCCUAAACGAUGUCUACUAGUUGUCGGGUUUUAAUUAACUUGGUAACGCAGCUAACGCGUGAAGUAGACCGCCUGGGGAGUACGGUCGCAAGAUUAAAACUCAAAGGAAUUGACGGGGACCCGCACAAGCGGUGGAUGAUGUGGAUUAAUUCGAUGCAACGCGAAAAACCUUACCUACCCUUGACAUGUCAGGAAGUCUGGAGAGAUCUGGAUGUGCCCGAAAGGGA
This 503-nucleotide ribosomal RNA is filed under the name Massilia sp. YIM B02769. RNAcentral's name for it is "bacterial SSU rRNA". It matches the Rfam family "Bacterial small subunit ribosomal RNA", at positions 524 to 1026 of the family's 1533-position model. Lineage: Bacteria; Pseudomonadati; Pseudomonadota; Betaproteobacteria; Burkholderiales; Oxalobacteraceae. The record is from RNAcentral.